UAAGAGAUCAAAUCAAGAUAAAAUAACAAUAUAAAGAUCAAAUUGAAAUAAAUACAAUGACAUCGCUUUACAGUAACAUGUGGUACUAUCAAUGCCACGUUCGCUUGACACAUGACAACAACAAAAUUAAUAAUUUUAGUACUUCUUUAACCAUAUUAGUACGAAACAAACAACAUAAACUUGACUGUUUCAAUUUUUCAAAAAUAAAAACUCAAUUAAG
RNAcentral lists this long non-coding RNA (220 nucleotides) under Vigna radiata. RNAcentral's name for it is "long non-coding RNA (VRAD_LNC015741)". The record is from RNAcentral. Lineage: Eukaryota; Viridiplantae; Streptophyta; Magnoliopsida; Fabales; Fabaceae.